AGUGAACGCUGGCGGUAGGCCUAACACAUGCAAGUCAAACGGCAGCACAGGAGAGCUUGCUCUCUGGGUGGCGAGUGGCGGACGGGUGAGGAAUACAUCGGAAUCUACUCUGUCGUGGGGGAUAACGUAGGGAAACUUACGCUAAUACCGCAUACGACCUACGGGUGAAAGCAGGGGACCUUCGGGCCUUGCGCGAUUGAAUGAGCCGAUGUCGGAUUAGCUAGUUGGCGGGGUAAAGGCCCACCAAGGCGACGAGCCGUAGCUGGUAUGAGAGGAUGAGCAGCCACACUGGAACUGAGACACGGUCCAGACUCCUACGGGAGGCAGCAGUGGGGAAUAUUGGACAAUGGGCGCAAGCCUGAUCCAGCCAUACCGCGUGGGUGAAGAAGGCCUUCGGGUUGUAAAGCCCUUUUGUUGGGAAAGAAAUCCAGCUGGCUAAUACCCGGUUGGGAUGACGGUACCCAAAGAAUAAGCACCGGCUAACUUCGUGCCAGCAGCCGCCGUAA
Molecule: ribosomal RNA, 506 nt
Filed under: uncultured bacterium
Lineage: Bacteria
Description: partial 16S ribosomal RNA
Rfam family: Bacterial small subunit ribosomal RNA
Source: RNAcentral